This is a long non-coding RNA of Sarcophilus harrisii (Tasmanian devil), 508 nucleotides long. RefSeq lists it as uncharacterized. NCBI's taxonomy places the organism in Eukaryota, Metazoa, Chordata, Mammalia, Dasyuromorphia, Dasyuridae. The record is from RefSeq and is a predicted model, not a curated record. The transcript is spliced from 3 exons.
UGAUCGAGUCCAACAAAGAGGAGGAAGGCAGAAGGGAGAGCGACCAGGGCAAGAUCUAACCAUUUCUAUGAAACCAAGACGCUAUCCCAGAAGUAAACUCGUCUGUAUUGGAGAACUGAAGGUGAGCGUGGAGCCAAGGAAGGCCAGAGUUGGGGCUGAAAGGGGAGAUUUGGAGGAGGACCAUGGGCUUUCUCAAAGAAGAAAGUCCUCUCAGGCGGAGAGAAAUCCCAAGAAAAGGUCCAGGAACCAGAAUGCCUCUCUUCUGUGGAAACUGGGAUUGUGAUUUCAUUUGUGUGGGAAAGUCCCACACUCCGUGCUCUACCUUCCUCAUCAGCACUUCUGCUACAGAUGAGCUAGGAAGCCCAAGAGCUCCAGAAGCAGCAACAUCUCCCACACCACUGGUCCUAUUUCCAGUCCAGCCCCUCCAACCAUCACCCUGGGAAGCAUUUCUUCUGGACAUGUGAUCUGGCAAAGACUUCUUUUUAAUAAAAGCUUUUUUUAUUUUCAA